UGCAAGUCGAGCGGUAACAGGGGUAGCUUGCUACCCGCUGACGAGCGGCGGACGGGUGAGUAAUGCAUGGGUAUCUGCCCGGUAGUGGGGGAUAACUCGGGGAAACCCGAGCUAAUACCGCAUACGUCCUACGGGAGAAAGCAGGGGAUCUUCGGACCUUGCGCUAUCGGAUGAGCCCAUGUCGGAUUAGCUUGUUGGUGAGGUAACGGCUCACCAAGGCGACGAUCCGUAGCUGGUCUGAGAGGAUGAUCAGCCACACCGGGACUGAGACACGGCCCGGACUCCUACGGGAGGCAGCAGUGGGGAAUAUUGGACAAUGGGGGCAACCCUGAUCCAGCCAUGCCGCGUGUGUGAAGAAGGCCUUCGGGUUGUAAAGCACUUUCAGUGGGGAAGAAGGCAUGAUGAUUAAUACYCGUCAUGAAGGACAUCACCCACAGAAGAAGCACCGGCUAACUCCGUGCCAGCAGCCGCGGUAAUACGGAGGGUGCAAGCGUUAAUCGGAAUUACUGGGCGUAAAGGGCGCGUAGGCGGCUUGCCAAGCCGGAUGUGAAAGCCCCGGGCUCAACCCGGGAACGGCAUUCGGAACUGGCAGGCUAGAGUGCAGGAGAGGAAGGUGGAAUUCCCGGUGUAGCGGUGAAAUGCGUAGAGAUCGGGAGGAAUACCAGUGGCGAAGGCGGCCUUCUGGACUGACACUGACGCUGAGGCGC
This 707-nucleotide ribosomal RNA is filed under the name Kushneria sp. CPA-37. Its description in RNAcentral is "bacterial SSU rRNA". It matches the Rfam family "Bacterial small subunit ribosomal RNA", at positions 56 to 754 of the family's 1533-position model. The record is from RNAcentral. Lineage: Bacteria; Pseudomonadati; Pseudomonadota; Gammaproteobacteria; Oceanospirillales; Halomonadaceae.